AUUUUGGACAAUGGGGGCAACCCUGAUCCAGCCAUCCUGCGUGUGCGAUGAAGGCCUUCGGGUUGNACAGCACUUUUGGCAGGGAANGAAAGGCUCUGGCUAAUACCUGGAGCUGCUGACGGUACCUGCAGAAUAAGCACCGGCUAACUACGUGCCAGCAGCCGCGGUAAUACGUAGGGUGCAAGCGUUAAUCGGAAUUACUGGGCGUAAAGCGUGCGCAGGCGGUUCGGCAAGAAGGAUGUGAAAUCCCAUGGCUUAACCUUGGAACGGCAUUCUUAACUGCCGGGCUAGAGUAUGUCAGAGGGGGGUAGAAUUCCGCGUGUAGCAGUGAAAUGCGUAGAGAUGCGGAGGAAUACCGAUGGCGAAGGCAGCCCCCUGGGAUAAUACUGACGCUCAUGCACGAAAGCGUGGGGAGCAAACA
RNAcentral lists this ribosomal RNA (421 nucleotides) under uncultured bacterium. Its description in RNAcentral is "partial 16S ribosomal RNA". It matches the Rfam family "Bacterial small subunit ribosomal RNA", at positions 361 to 774 of the family's 1533-position model. The record is from RNAcentral.